UACGUAGGGUGCAAGCGUUGUCCGGAAUUAUUGGGCGUAAAGAGCUCGUAGGCGGUUUGUCGCGUCUGCUGUGAAAACCCGAGGCUCAACCUCGGGCCUGCAGUGGGUACGGGCAGACUAGAGUGCGGUAGGGGAGAUUGGAAUUCCUGGUGUAGCGGUGGAAUGCGCAGAUAUCAGGAGGAACACCGGUGGCGAAGGCGGCUCUCUGGGCCUUACCUGACGCUGAGGAGCGAAAGCGUGGGUAGCGAACAGG
Molecule: ribosomal RNA, 253 nt
Filed under: uncultured bacterium
Lineage: Bacteria
Description: partial 16S ribosomal RNA
Rfam family: Bacterial small subunit ribosomal RNA
Source: RNAcentral